CAGCCGCCGCGGGAAUACGAAGGGGGCUAGCGUUGCUCGGAAUUACUGGGCGUAAAGGGCGCGUAGGCGGACAGUUCAGUCGGGGGUGAAAGCCCGGGGCUCAACCUCGGAAUUGCCUUCGAUACUGGCUGUCUUGAGUAUGAGAGAGGUGUGUGGAACUCCGAGUGUAGAGGUGAAAUUCGUAGAUAUUCGGAAGAACACCAGUGGCGAAGGCGACACACUGGCUCAUUACUGACGCUGAGGCGCGAAAGCGUGGGGAGCAAACAGGAUUAGAUACCCCUGUAGUCCCUGUCUCUUAUAC
Molecule: ribosomal RNA, 301 nt
Filed under: uncultured bacterium
Lineage: Bacteria
Description: partial 16S ribosomal RNA
Rfam family: Bacterial small subunit ribosomal RNA
Source: RNAcentral